CUCGCAAUGUAGAGGCGCUAGUCAGAGGUGCUUCGGUUGUGUUAACGUUGGUGUAGCUCUCUCCAACGUUGGGAUGCUACACAACUAAAAUAACGCUCGCAGCCCAGAUCCUCCACUAAAAUAAUGCUCACUCGCUCAGCUCCCUCCUCACGCUAUCCUCUCAUCGCCUUCUAUAUCCCGACCACACACAAUACUCCCAAAAUCACGCCGACGGCAACUCCGUAACAGCACCGAUUUUGAAGCACACCUCCGCCCCCUUCCUCUGCCGCUCCCAUGGCGCGGCUUCCUCCUCAAGCUGCCCGGCGCUGCUUCGCCGGUGGCGCAGCCGCAGGAGUCCAACGGGCGGGGGUCCAGGCGGUGCUCGACGAUGCAGCCGGCGUUGGGGAGGAGUCGCGUCAGGUAACGCCAGAGGUGAAGGACCUAGUCCAGGUGAUUCUCGACGAGCCGUGUGCAUAGGGGAGCAGGAUAUGUCUUCUACCUGAGGUGUGGAGGGAAGACGAGAAGGGUGUGGAGGGCGAGGUCGCUGCCGGAGCUCUGCCGGACUGAGGUUGAUUUGGUGUUGCAUUUUCAGCUAGUAGCUCGAUUUGUGCAUCUGCGUCUGCCACAUGGAGAGGCUUCCCUUGCUGCUGUUGUUUCCCAACGUGUUCUGAUUCUUGAUCUUUGUUCGGCCUAAACAUCAAUAUUUAUUCUAUCCUAUUUGCUAUCCUUUCAGGUCUGGGGAUGGGGUUGUUGGAUGAAGGGAGGAGGAGCUGGCAAAGGGCUGCAGGGUGAGUACUUGAUCCUCUGCUAUAUAUUUCAGUGUGGUGAAAAAACUAGAUUUCUGGACCAUAUAGUUGAUUAUUUGAUCAUUCGUAGAUUAUAUAGUUUUCCCUGCCUGCUUGUACUUAGUUGCCAUGUCAUAUGUUGCAUACUUUAGAUCAUCUGUUCAUGUUCAUCUCAUCAGAAGCUACUGGAGCUUUUACUACAGGCUAGGAUUUGUGAAGUGACAUGUCUCAUUGAUUUGAUCUGAUACAUACAGCUGGUCUAAUUUAUUCGGACAUGUAGACAAAAGAACAAGGUGAUUUUGCUUAUCUCAUCUAUCACUUGGCAAAAAUAAAACAUCGAUGUUCACUGAAACGAGCUGUCACCAGAAGUACACGUAUCCAAAAGAAAUAGAAAAAAAUGGUAUCAUUAACUGAACUACUGAUUCAACCUUAUUUCAACCUACAAUCGCCUAAAAUGAUAUCAAAUUAUGCAUCAUUGUCUUAUCACUAGGAAGUUGAUCCAGUUCCAGUGGGGCUCAUUCCUUAGCAUAUUGCAUGAGUUCAGAUCUUUGAAGGACUUGUUUGUUUCUGACUUGUACAGAUCAAGUGCUCUAGACACUAAUUCAUCACUGGAUCUGCCAUUAAUGUACAAAUCUCUCACCCUACGCCACAUGCUAACAAAUAGGACAAUUCUAUGAUUCAGCUUAUACCAGUGUCGCUUGCAUUGGAUUGUCUGCCUCCGUCGUUCAUGAAGACUAUUUUCGUUGAAAUCGUCGGUGAUUUGGUUCCACAAAUCCUCUAAAUUUUCAUAGAUAGCCUGAAUUGAGUUGUUUAAGCAUGCAAAGAUCUGCAUGUUGGACAUACUACAGUAAUUAAGAACAAUUUUAGAAACCAAUCAUUGUAGAUAGUGAAAACAACCUCUUACCAGUUGUACAUCUUCUUCUUCAGUCCAUUGCAAGUGUAUGCUUCCGUUCACAAUUGCACCUUCAAGAUUCAUUUUCUUGGAUGAAAGUGGGUUAUGCGUGUACUGGUUAAAUGCCAUGAUAUUCAUAGAGUGUUGACAACUAGUAUCUCAACCACCACGGUUGUUAUGUUGCAUGUGCAUGGACUUAUUCCAUAGGUGAUCUAGUUAGGCAAUUGAAUUGGUCCCUGGACAUAUAGCAAGACAUUUCAUGGAUGUUAUCUUGCAUGUGCAUGGACUUAUCCCCUGGGUGGAAGCAUGCAAGUGGUGAUAUAGACCAUUUCAGCCAUGAUCGAGAUAAUAGCAUUCUACAUGAUAGAUUGAAACAACGAAAAAUAUCUUUAGUUUGUUUCUUCAAAUAACUUAUUUUAGAGACAAAUCAAAGCUUUAAAAGGAAACACAUUACA
Triticum aestivum (bread wheat) is the source of this 2111-nucleotide long non-coding RNA. RefSeq lists it as uncharacterized. Lineage: Eukaryota; Viridiplantae; Streptophyta; Magnoliopsida; Poales; Poaceae. The transcript has 2 exons. The record is from RefSeq and is a predicted model, not a curated record.